Molecule: long non-coding RNA, 2682 nt
Filed under: Eutrema salsugineum
Lineage: Eukaryota; Viridiplantae; Streptophyta; Magnoliopsida; Brassicales; Brassicaceae
Description: long non-coding RNA (ESAL_LNC000825)
Source: RNAcentral
GCAGGACUUACAAAAAUCAUAGCUCCGGCUAAAAGACGUUUCAGCAAUAUAAAGUAGCGACAACCAUUAAGAGCUUCAGCUCGUCAAUCCAUCCCGCAUAAGCACAAGUUCAAAAUUUUCUCAGUUCUCUCACCGACCUAAGCCAAAGUUUCAAAGCAACAGUGCAACAUGAAUAUUCUAAGCUCACCGAUCUAGAAGCUAUUCUUAGCUCGUUACCCGAACUCCUUGAUACCCAGGUAUUAUCUAUCAAAAUUAUACAUAUUAUUCAAAGAAUAUUCACCAUUGUCACAGGGUCUGUCCCUCCUCCAAGCCGAACUAACGUUCGCAUUUAACAAAAAAAAAAAAAAAAAAAGAGGAAAAAGAGAAGGAAGCUUCUCCGAAGCUCUCCUUAGACGAGCUCUGAGCUCCCACUUAAACUCACACUUCAGCACCUUGCCCAACUCAACUAUUAUUGACAUGCUCGUCAGUUUGAGUUUGUCAGUCUCAGUUCAGACAGCUUUAGUUCCUUAUUUUCGGCUCGUCAGCAGCUUUUGUUCGUCAUUUUCAAAUAUCAGCUUGGUUCAAAAUUUCAUCUCGACCCAGAUUUCAGUUCGGUUUAGAUUCAGUUCAUUAGUUUUGAGUUCGGAAUUUCAGUUCAAUACCUUGAGUUCGUCGAUUUCGGAUUUCAGUUCGACUCAGCUUCAGUUCGUCAACUUGAGUUCGUCAAAUUCAUAAUUUUAGAAUUUCAGUUUUCAUUCAGAGUUUUAGUUCGGCUCAUAAUUUCAGUUUUCAUUCAGAGUUUUAGUUCGACUCAGAAUUUCAGUUUUCAUUCAUAGUUUUAGUUCGGCUCAGAAUUUCAGCAUGUCAUAUUCAGUUCAUUUCAGAUCAGAUCAGUUUUUGUUCAGAAUUUCAUGUUUCAGUUCGGUACAACAGCUCAAUUGGUUAGACAAGUUCAGUUCAUCGACUUGAGUCCGUCAUCUCAGAAUACACUCUUCUGCCGAGCUAUACUGCGCUCAAACCUCUUCUAGCUCAUCAACCGAGCUCCUCUGAAAUUCAGGGUCCGUCCCUCCAAGCCGAACUGACAUGUUCUCAGUCCCAACCGAACUCAUCGGUAUUACAUCGACUUCCUGGCCAGUUGUUCGAUAGCAUUUCUCAACAAUGCAACCUCAAAAAGCCGAGAUCCGUCUCGCAAGCGUCCACAUGGCGCCGUGGUGAAAGAAUCCACAAUUUUUAAAGCCGGGGCCAGUCCCGCAUUACUUAUUCCUAAGUCACCGAGAACAAUAAGCCAAGCCCAUCUCGCACACUCUGGUUCGAUUUAGGAGACCUUGAGUUUAUAUCAUGCGUUUACAAGGGUUCGAUUCCUCACUCUUCCAGUAUGAUAAAACUCACUUGGGUCCCCCAGGCCGAGUUCAUUUAACUCGCACAAAUUAAGCCGAACACCUCAGAUUCGCACCGUAAGCCGAGUUCUCAACACUCGCAAAUGUAAGCCGAAUUAUCGCAAUUCGCAACAGACUGAGUUGAAACUUAUAUAAGCCGAGCUAACAACCUCGCAAGUCUCCAAUCUCAAUUCAACCCGGACUAAAAAUACUCAUCAAAUCCGCCGAACUCUUACACAUACUCUUUCGCCGGACUGAGGGGGGGGCUUACUGUUGGUGGUGUACUCCGCACCCCCGGUUUAGUCCGGUAUGAACCGAGAUCAGCCCGAUUUACGAUGGUUCAUAUCCAAAAGAUAUUCGGCCCAUUAAUAGCUUAUGGUCUUCUAAAGCCUGAUUUACAAUAUCGGCAUUAACAUCUAAACUUUACGGAAUAUUUCUUUAAUCUUAUCCAAGAAAAGGAAAUAUUCCCGAAACCAAAUCCAAAUAGAAAAAGGAAAUCGUCUAGAAAGACCGAUUUCAAAACCCUAUAAAUAGAAGAGACUCAUCUCUUUCAAAGAUCAUUCACAACUUUAAUAACAGAACUACGAAUGGCUUGAUCCCUUUUCAGGGGUACGUAGGCAGCUCAUCUUGAGUUCAGCUAUAACAUUAAUAAAAUCUCUAAAUUCUUUGUGUGAUACUCGGUAUCAACAAACACAAUCACAUUAAAUAUUAGUUUAUGUUCAUUAAUCCUUAGGUUACAGGGGAAGGUUUUGCCGGGCUGAAAUCGAUGGACACACUGUUGACGCAAUGGCGUUCAUCGGUUGGAGUAGCGUAACCUUCUCCUUUGAAAACAUGGCCUAAAUGUCCAUCGCAUGCCGCACAAGUGAUCUCAGUUCUUCUCCCAUCUGGAUCAGGCUGAUAAUUUUGUUGAAUCACAUCAAGCAAAACAUAGAAAGAAAAAAAGACUUUUAAUUAGUUACCAACAUUCAUGAAAUUAAUAAACCAAAAAACAUACAAAAGAUAAGAUCUCUUUUACAGAUCGGUUUAUGGCGCCGGGAAGUCCUUGAAAGAAAGCUGGCCAGCCACAUCCAGCGUCGAACUUUGUUGUGGAUUUAUAAAGAGGAGUUUUGCAUCCAACGCAGUUGAAUAUUCCUUCCUCGAAGAACUUGUCAUAUUCUCCAGUUCCUAGCUUUCUGAAAAAAUAUUGUGAUGACCAAAAAAAAACGCAAGAACAUUUAAUAAGAUGAUAAAUAUUCCCAUCGAUUCUUGAAAAUGGACUUAAACUCGGAGUUGCCUAUGUCUUUUUAGGAUUAGAUACAAGGAUUCUAUUCUUGGAUGAAUCAAAUAA